This 253-nucleotide ribosomal RNA is filed under the name uncultured bacterium. RNAcentral's name for it is "partial 16S ribosomal RNA". It matches the Rfam family "Bacterial small subunit ribosomal RNA", at positions 524 to 776 of the family's 1533-position model. The record is from RNAcentral.
UACGGAGGGUUCAAGCGUUAUCCGGAUUCACUGGGGUUAAAGGGUGCGUAGGCGGAUCGGUAAGUCCGUGGUGAAAUCCUGCAGCUUAACUGCAGAACUGCCAUGGAUACUAUUUAUCUUGAAUGUCGUGGAGGUUAGCAGAAUAUGUCAUGUAGCGGUGAAAUGCUUAGAUAUGACAUAGAAUACCCAUUGCGAAGGCAGCUAACUACGCGAUAAUUGACGCUGAUGCACGAAAGCGUGGGGAUCAAACAGG